Molecule: ribosomal RNA, 252 nt
Filed under: uncultured bacterium
Lineage: Bacteria
Description: partial 16S ribosomal RNA
Rfam family: Bacterial small subunit ribosomal RNA
Source: RNAcentral
ACGUAGGGUGCGAGCGUUAAUCGGAAUUACUGGGCGUAAAGGGUGCGCAGGCGGUUCGGAAAGAGAGAUGUGAAAUCCCAGAGCUAAACUUUGGAACUGCAUUUUUAACUGCCGAGCUAGAGUGUGUCAGAGGGAGGUGGAAUUCCGCGUGUAGCAGUGAAAUGCGUAGAGAUGCGGAGGAACACCGAUGGCGAAGGCAGCCUCCUGGGAUAACACUGACGCUGAGGCACGAAAGCGUGGGGAGCAAACAGG